This is a long non-coding RNA of Mercenaria mercenaria, 3697 nucleotides long. RefSeq lists it as uncharacterized. The transcript has 3 exons. Lineage: Eukaryota; Metazoa; Mollusca; Bivalvia; Venerida; Veneridae. The record is from RefSeq and is a predicted model, not a curated record.
CCAGUCAAAUAUUGUCGAGAGGGCAGUUUAGCGGUCAGGCGUCUGGGCCUAAAAGUCGAGUCUGGGCUGGCGAAGGUAGCCCUCUUCAGUGACCUUGCUGAAAAGACUUACAGAGAGGGCAAAGUUAUUGAGUUGUCUGGUGUGUACAAGAAGGAGCAUGAGUCGAAAAAACAGCUGGCCGUGACUCAUGGAACAAAACAUCAGUUCUUACCUGAUGACACUGUGAAAGUCGGCAUAACUGAAGGGGACUCUAAGCACUUUAAAAGUGAUAAAGAUUUUUGUCUGGAGGACAAUGAUAUUCUGUCAAAUUUUGAGCUGGAUGCCAUAUAUGAAGUGACUGGGUACGACUGUUGUACCAAUCAAGGCUGCCAUGAGAAAAAGUUUGUGGCUGGCGUAUGACCUCUCUGCCAGGGAGAUCAGAAAGGGUGGACAUACCGUGCAAAAGUUUCGAUUAUCGGUGAUAAAAGUCAAAGGGAGAUCACCCUGUUCCAACGUGACUUGGAAAAGCUAUUCGGUACUUUUAAGGACAUAGCUGAUGAAGAUCAACUGAUUCUUCAAAUGAUUGACUUGUUGCCAGUUCGGUUCAUAGGAAAACUGACCGGCAACAGUUUGUAUAAUAUUCAGAAAACCUUAUAAUUUAGGUUGUCUAUUUUAACUCACCUGACUGCCAUCAUGUCUAUAAAGGGAUAUGAAAGUUAUCAUCCAGUCGAGUAUUGAUAUUAUUACGGGGUUUUUUAGCUGCUGAUGUAUAUUGGUUUUCAUGAUGAAAUCCUGUUGUGCAAUAACCUCAGACAUUUGGGACAUAUCUAUAACUACACAGUUUGUUAAAAUUUGAAGAGUUUUGAAUAUUUAAAGACCUGCUCCAGUCCUACCUUUUAAUCUUAAAUUGCCACUGAGAAAGAAUGAAAAGCCUGUCUAAACCGUGACACCUGUCAAAAUAGAGUCUAUUUUAAAUGAUAUUCUAUAUAAAAUACUAUUGGUUUUGCAUGCUAGUAUCGCAUGUUGCCGUUAACUGUAACCUAUUGUAAUCAUGGUUUCCAUACACGCAGUAGAAUUUGAAUAGGUGCCGAGCAGAUCUUUAAUUAUUUUUGACGUUUUUGUAAGUGUAAAUUAUUUUCAGAAAUUUACUUAAAUAACAUGUUUGAUUAUGCAUGUCAAUUAUUGUGAUAUAUGUAACUCAAGAGCUGACUUUGAUAUUUGUAAUCCCAUUUAGCCUUUUUCACAUGUCCAGGCAUAAAGUUUGGCUGGAUUUAUUGACAUGAAAUCUGUGUUGUUAUUUUUUUUUCAGCAGCAGAUAAAAGAUAAUGACUUCAUAUUUUUAAAAUGAUGUCACAAUUUGUUAAAGCUUCACCUAGCAAAACAGGUACUAAAUUAUGACUGAAUUAUAAUAUAGUGUUUCAAUCUUUUGAAUAAAUCUCUUUAGUAACAAAAAAUUACUGUAUUUUUAGAAUGCCUCAAGUUUUGAGAGACACUCUGUACUUUUGAGAAAUUCAUCAUUUAUAUAUCUGUAGUCUGGAGGCAACAGGCUAAUUGUUCAUUGAACAUUUUUCGCAUAAAAAAGAGGCAGCAGAUAUUUGAAAUAAGACAUAUACAUUCAGCUUGUUAAAUUAUUUUUGUACACACUUUUGUUAAUAGUUUCUUGAUAGAUUUAUUGGUUUAUUUUUUCCUUUCAGGUCACUUAACACUUAGCAGCUAUUAAUAUAAGCAUACAAGCAUAAUUAAUUCAUGCUUAACUACUUGUUGACAACUUUAAUGUGCAAAAAAUAUUGAGUAUUGUAUACUUUCUUUUCAACUUCUAUUAAAGCCCCAUUUUUACUUGCAACAGGUUAGCCACAGAUUAGAUUAUUUUACAUGCAUAAGUAGUAUUUAUAACUUUGUUUUCAAUUUAAAAACAAAAUAGCAUGUUCUGAUCACUUUUGUUUGUUGACAUCAUGAUAUUUAGUUUCUAGUCAUAAGUUGGUAGUAUUUUUAUAGUGUACACAUUUAUGUUUUUAUAUCUGACAAGGCUUACUUGUUCGUUUUUUACCUAGACAUAUCUCAAUCUCCCUCUUGUUUGGCUUUAGCACUCAAAGUCUUAAGCAUGUUUAGCCUUGUUUAGUAUAAUAUAGUUGAAGUACAAUCACUUUGUUAUCGCGACAAUUGUUCUAAAUGUUUGUUCUUACAAUUUAUUGCUCAUUUAUUUAACUUGAAUAAAAAACGUACUUAUUUCACAAUAUUUCAUUGAAAAAGUGGCUGGCAGUUACAAAUAAAUGAUUUAAAGGUUAUUACGUUAGCCCAUAUACACAUCAUUUUACUGUUUCCAUUGCCAAAGAAACUGAAAUUUGUGUCCAAGAAAAGAAUGAUAUAACAUGCAUAAUUUCUAUAUAUCCCAUAAACAAAAGCAAAUGUCAUGAAUGUUCUUUAUUUACUUUUGGAAUAUCACAGUUGAAUAAUUUGUAUACUUUUAUUUUAUGAUGUUUGCACUGAGCCGUUUUUAUGUCAAACAUUUCUAAAUGGUAAAUCUCUGUUUGACCUAAUGCUCAAAAGCAUUCGUGUUAGUCAUAAACCGUCAUACUAGAUUGCCAUACAAUGUGUGUACAUAUCUCAGUUGUUUCACUUGUUCUUUUAUGUUAUAGUAUUGUUAUUUAAAAUUUCCUACACAUUGACUCUUGCCAUAUUACUUUAGCCAGUCAAGUGCAUUUUGCCACUACUUUAAAGGUCAAGGUCACUUUAAUGACAUUAAAUCUUGUUCUUUCUUUUUCCCCCAGAAGGUUGCUGAAGUUAUUAAUUUUCAAAUUAGAGGUGAACUUCACACUAAUAACACUUUGAAUCUGAAUAUAUACAGUUGACAGAAUAUUUAAGUGCAUUCUAUUUCUGACCUUAGUAUGACCUACUUACCUGCCACAAUGGCUUUUAUACCACAGUUUUUAGCUCAUCUGAGCAGAAAGUGCUGAAGGUGAGCGUUUGUGAUCGCCCUGUUUCUGCCGUCAUACGUCCGUCUUCAGUCCGUUGCAACAAUUUGACUGUUAACAUUCUAGAGGUCACAAUUUUGGCCUGAUCUUAUUGAAACUUAGUCAGAAUGUUAUCUUCAAUGAAGUCUUCGACGAGUUCGACAUUGGGUUAUCUGGGAUCAAAGCUAUAUCACCGGGUCAGAUCAAAGGAAAAGCUAGUUAACACUCUAGAAACCACAUUUAUGACCAUAUCUUAAUGAAACUUGGUCAGAAUGUUAAUCUUGAUGAUCUUUAGGUCAAGUUUUAAUCUGGGUCAUGUGGGGAGAAAAACUAUGUCAUCGGGUCAAAUCAAAGCAAAAGCUACUUAACACUCUAGAGGCCACAUUCAUGGCCAUAUCUUAAUGAAACUUGGUUAGUAUAUUAAUCUUGAUGAUCUUUAAGUCAAGUUUAAAUCUGGGUCAGAUAGGGUAAAAACUAGGUCACCAGGUCAAAUCAAAUAUAAAGUUUGUUAACACUCUUGAGGCCACACUUAUGACCAUAUCUUAAUGAAACUUGGUCAGAAUGUUAAUCUUGAUGAUCUUUAGGUCAAUAGGUCAGGUGAGCGAUACAGAGCCUUCAAGGUCCUCUUGUUAUAAUUUUUAACCUUUUGUCUUAUUUACUUUGUUAAUAGGUACAGUCAUGCAAUUUAAGCAUGUGACAGCAAAUUAUAAGCUAGAGUUAUCAGUGACUUUCAAAUACAUUUCCUUCUUGCGUUUCUAUUUGCUCAA